ACAAAGCUGAAUCUUCACAAAAGCCUUACUUGAUCUUCACUUUAGGCUUCCCUUUGUGUAGUUUUAGCCCAUAGGUUUGAUUAGGCUCCCUAAGCCUAUGAUUGCAAGUGUUGCAUCAAAUCUGUCCCAUAUGAGUUGAAGCACGCCCCAAAUAUAUAUGGAUCAUAUGAACAUGAUUUUGAACUCCUUUUAGAUCCAUUUGAAUGACAUAAGUUUGCUCCACAC
This 225-nucleotide long non-coding RNA is filed under the name Manihot esculenta (cassava). RNAcentral describes it as "long non-coding RNA (MESC_LNC010883)". Lineage: Eukaryota; Viridiplantae; Streptophyta; Magnoliopsida; Malpighiales; Euphorbiaceae. The record is from RNAcentral.